GACGAACGCUGGCGGCGUGCUUAACACAUGCAAGUCGAACGGAAAGGCCCUGCUUUUGUGGGGUGCUCGAGUGGCGAACGGGUGAGUAACACGUGAGUAACCUGCCCUUGACUUUGGGAUAACUUCAGGAAACUGGGGCUAAUACCGGAUAGGAGCUCCUGCUGCAUGGGGGGGGUUGGUAAGUUUCGGCGGUUGGGGAUGGACUCGCGGCUUAUCAGCUUGUUGGUGGGGUAGUGGCUUACCAAGGCUGUGACGGGUAGCCGGCCUGGGAGGGUGAACGGCCACAUUGGGACUGAGAUACGGCGCAGACUCCUACGGGAGGCAGCAGUGGGGAAUAUUGCACAGUGGGCGGAAGCCUGAUGCAGCAACGCCGCGUGCGGGAUGACGGCCUUCGGGUUGUAAACCGCUUUCGCCUGUGACGAAGCGUGAGUGACGGUAAUGGGUAAAGAAGCACCGGCUAACUACGUG
RNAcentral lists this ribosomal RNA (468 nucleotides) under uncultured bacterium. RNAcentral's name for it is "partial 16S ribosomal RNA". It matches the Rfam family "Bacterial small subunit ribosomal RNA", at positions 28 to 507 of the family's 1533-position model. The record is from RNAcentral.